CGACCACGAGACCGAUAGCGGACAAGUACCGUGAGGGAAAGUUGAAAAGAACUUUGAAGAGAGAGUUCAACAGUACGUGAAACCGUUCGGGGGUAAACGGACAGAGCCCGUGAAUCCGGGCGACGGAAUUCAGAAUCGACAACAACGUUGUCGGUUUGAUAUUUCCGUCGCCGUACGGACGUCGCGACCCGUUCGGUGUCGGUCUGAGGAGACGUGUAAAAGUUCGCCGACGUUGCGUCCAUUCGGGUGCGCGUCGACGAGUGCGCGUUCUUGUUUUCUGGCCGACUCGCCGGACGGUACGCGUAACGGUGGCCGCGACGAUCUUUCGAGCGUCGUCGUCGGUGCCGGUCUGCGACGAAUCUUCGGGCCUCUUUCCGACCCGUCUUGAAACACGGACCAAGGAGUCUAACGUGCGCGCGAGUCGCGGGGUGUCGAGCGGUUGGCGGCGUUCCUUGUGGGCGUCGUCGGCCGUUCGUUACAAUACGAAACCCGUCUCGUUUUACGAAAGGCGCAAUGAAAGUGAAUUUUUUUGGGGAAGAUGACGUUACCGAGUUCACGUUUCGCGCUCUUGUAGCGCGGCCGGUCGUCCGCAUUCCCAGGGCGUCUCAACGGCCCGGCGGCGUUGCGGAUCGUCGUUCCUUCGGGGGCGGUGGUCGGGCGUCGUCGAACCGAGGCGCACCUAUAGCGUGCACGUUGGUACCCGAAAGAUGGUGAACUAUGCCCGGCCAGGAUGAAGUCAGGGGAAACCCUGAUGGAGGUCCGCAGCGAUUCUGACGUGCAAAUCGAUCGUCUGAGCUGGGUAUAGGGGCGAAAGACUAAUCGAACCAUCUAGUAGCUGGUUCCCUCCGAAGUUUCCCUCAGGAUAGCUGGCGUCGGAAUACGAAUCGACGAAGCGUUUUCGAACGUUUCGCUCGUCGGGUCGUCUCAUCCGGUAAAGCGAAUGAUUAGAGGCAUUGGGGCCGAAACGACCUCAACCUAUUCUCAAACUAUAAACGGGCGAGAUCGCAGGCUUUCCUGAUAAGUUGCGCGUUUCGGCGCGCGACAAAGCGAGAGAGUCCGGCCGCGCGGCGCGUCGUUUCGGCGGCGCGUGCGGUGCGGUUCGGGCGCGAAGCCUGCGACGGAACCCUUGACGCUCAGUGGGCCAUUUUUGGUAAGCAGAACUGGCGCUGCGGGAUGAACCGAACGCCGAGUUAAGGCGCCGAAAUCGACGCGAAUUUCAGAGCCCAUGAAAGGCGUUGGUCGCUGAUGACAGCAGGACGGUGGCCAUGGAAGUCGGAAUCCGCUAAGGAGUGUGUAACUACUCACCUGCCGAAGCAACUAGCUCUGAAAAUGGAUGGCGCUGGAGCGUCGUGCCUAUACUCGGCCGUCAGAGGCAGCGUGGGCUUCGGUCUUCGCGCCGAAGACCCGGUACGCCCUGACGAGUAGGAGGGCGCGGCGGUGCGCGCAGAAGGGGAGGGCGUGAGCCUGCCUGGAGCCGCCGUCGGUGCAGAUCUUGGUGGUAGUAGCAAAUACUCGAGAGGGGCCCUCGGGGGCUGCCGUGGAGAAGGGUUUCUUGUGAACAGCCGUUGUCCAAGAGUCAGUCGAUCCUAAGCCCGGGGAGAAAUCCUACACUCAACGACGAUGACGAGAAGAACUCUCGCGUCGCACUCGUGCACAGCCGGGCUGAGUCUCGCGUGUCGAUCCGUGCCGGAGCCCAAUCGAGACGAUUCUGUGCGAUUGCGAUGGCCCGAUCGCGCCGCGUCGUCGUACACACUGUGCGUGUGCUGCGACGGCUCGCGGUCUGUCGAUCGGCGAGUCAUCACGUGCGUGUACACGCUCUCUGUCGUUGUUAUUUAUAGCGCGAUAGUGUGUGUGUGUGCGCGUACGGGUUCCCCGAGCACGAAAGUGCGGAUCGAACGUUUGUGUGCGUUGUUGCUGCGGCGCCGAGAAUAAAGUUUCGACUCGAUCGUGUUUUGGGGCGAAAGGGAAUCCGGUCCGUAUUCCGGAACCCGGCGCGGAACCGCUCCCUAGUGUUCGGGGCCCUUAAACGCGCAGCGUUACUUCGGUAUCGCUGUCGUGUGCCUCGUCCGGGUAACCGAAAUGAACCCGGAGACGUCGCCGGAGGGUCCGGGAAGAGUUCUCUUUUCUCUGUGAGCGUUGUACGUCCCUGGAAUCCGCUAGCCGGGAGAUAGGGACGCGAGCGCGAAGAGCACCGCUCGCUGCGGCGGUGUCCGUGAUCCUCACGCGAACCUUGAAAAUCCGGGAGAGGGCCACGCGGAGUCUUCGCGCCGGUUCGUACCGAUAUCCGCAGCAGGUCUCCGAGGUGAGCAGCCUCUAGCCGCAUAGAAUAAUGUAGGUAAGGGAAGUCGGCAAAAUCGAUCCGUAACUUCGGGAUAAGGAUUGGCUCUGAGGAGCGUGGCGGCUCGGGUUCGGUCUGCGCAGAAGCGGAGACGGGAAAGACGGCGCCCUGUCGUUCGACGUCCGCCUUUCGAGGUGGUCGCUGGGCGGCGUGGGAUGUCUGUCGCCCGGCUUCCGUGGAACCUCCGAACUUUGCGUGACGGCGAAUCCGCGCGUCGUCGUCGUCGACACGUGGGCAACUGCGUUGUACGGUGUGCGACGGCGUUCGGGCUCUCGCCGUCGAUGCUAAUCGACUGCCAAGUAACGGUCAGCUCAGAACUGGCACGGACCAGGGGAAUCCGACUGUCUAAUUAAAACAAAGCAUCGUGAUGGCCCUCGCGGGUGUUGACACGAUGUGAUUUCUGCCCAGUGCUCUGAAUGUCAACGUGAAGAAAUUCAAGCAAGCGCGGGUAAACGGCAGGAGUAACUAUGACUCUUUUAAGGUAGCCAAAUGCCUCGUCAUCUAAUUAGUGACGCGCAUGAAUGGAUUAACGAGAUUCUCUCUGUCCCUAUCUACUUU
RNAcentral lists this ribosomal RNA (2896 nucleotides) under Ferrisia virgata (striped mealybug). RNAcentral describes it as "eukaryotic LSU rRNA". It matches the Rfam family "Eukaryotic large subunit ribosomal RNA", at positions 323 to 2355 of the family's 3401-position model. The record is from RNAcentral. Lineage: Eukaryota; Metazoa; Arthropoda; Insecta; Hemiptera; Pseudococcidae.